RNAcentral lists this ribosomal RNA (288 nucleotides) under uncultured Geobacter sp. RNAcentral's name for it is "partial 16S ribosomal RNA". It matches the Rfam family "Bacterial small subunit ribosomal RNA", at positions 1093 to 1382 of the family's 1533-position model. The record is from RNAcentral. Lineage: Bacteria; Pseudomonadati; Thermodesulfobacteriota; Desulfuromonadia; Geobacterales; Geobacteraceae.
CGAGCGCAACCCCUAUCCUCAGUUGCCAUCAUUAAGUUGGGCACUCUGUGGAGACUGCCGGUGUCAAACCGGAGGAAGGUGGGGAUGACGUCAAGUCCUCAUGGCCCUUAUGACCAGGGCUACACACGUGCUACAAUGGCCGGUACAAAGAGUUGCGAUACCGCGAGGUGGAGCUAAUCUCAUAAAGCCGGUCUCAGUUCGGAUUGCAGGCUGCAACUCGCCUGCAUGAAGCCGGAAUCGCUAGUAAUCGCGGAUCAGCAUGCCGCGGUGAAUACGUUCCCGGGCCUU